RNAcentral lists this ribosomal RNA (32 nucleotides) under Alternaria alternata. RNAcentral's name for it is "partial 28S ribosomal RNA". RNAcentral also lists the same sequence under 1 other name. The record is from RNAcentral. Lineage: Eukaryota; Fungi; Ascomycota; Dothideomycetes; Pleosporales; Pleosporaceae.
UCAGGUAGGGAUACCCGCUGAACUUAAGCAUA